This is a non-coding RNA of Podarcis lilfordi (Lilford's wall lizard), 76 nucleotides long. NCBI's taxonomy places the organism in Eukaryota, Metazoa, Chordata, Lepidosauria, Squamata, Lacertidae. The record is from the annotation of a GenBank genome assembly.
GGUUAUAGCUUGGUAGGAGAGCAUCUGCUUUGUAAGAAGAAGGCCCCAGGUUCCAUCCCUGGCUAGGAGGGAGCCU